This 276-nucleotide long non-coding RNA is filed under the name Elaeis guineensis (African oil palm). RNAcentral describes it as "long non-coding RNA (EGUI_LNC048882)". Lineage: Eukaryota; Viridiplantae; Streptophyta; Magnoliopsida; Arecales; Arecaceae. The record is from RNAcentral.
CUAUUUCACAUAUACACUUAAAGAUAAUUAGAAGAUAAAGAAAAGAUAAUGUUAGGAUAAUUAUGCCAACUAAUUGACUUAAUCAAAUCCUCUUAGGCUCACAAUUAAGAGCCUAAUUAAAUUCAAAUAGAUUUAGAUUAGGUUCAAAGCCAUGGAUCUGAUCAAAUCAAAGUUGCAAAAGGAAUUAGGUUUAACCAUGUGCUAGCAUGGUUCUCAUAAACCUAAUAGGAUUUCAAUAAAUUCUAACCCAAUGGAAACUUCACAAGUCCAAUUGAC